Pelobates cultripes (western spadefoot toad) is the source of this 401-nucleotide non-coding RNA. Lineage: Eukaryota; Metazoa; Chordata; Amphibia; Anura; Pelobatidae. The record is from the annotation of a GenBank genome assembly.
GUUCAAUGAGAAGUCUUUGCAAGGCAUGUGCUCUGAGCUGUUGCUGCCUCAUGAAUUUAGCUCAAUUGAGCUAACCAAACCAUGAAGUAACAGGACUUGUUGUUUGCUUGAAAGCCAAGGAGGUGGAGCUAUUUCUGAAAUAGCUCCAAACAGCUGGGUUAACAUUUUUGCAAGUGUAUAAUCCAUUACUAAAUAUUAAUUUGUUUUUAAGAUCUGAAAAGCUUUAAAGUAAUUUAAGAGUUAGAUCAGAAUUCAAUGGUACAAUUUGUUUUGGCAAUAGGGGACAUACCUGCUGACUUACACCAGCCACUAAGAGAAUGGAAUAAUUUCUGUUGGGUCUUUUAACCCCUUAAGGACACAUGGCAUGUGUGAUAUGUCAUGAUUCCCUUUUAUUCCAGAAG